This 497-nucleotide ribosomal RNA is filed under the name uncultured bacterium. RNAcentral describes it as "partial 16S ribosomal RNA". It matches the Rfam family "Bacterial small subunit ribosomal RNA", at positions 28 to 507 of the family's 1533-position model. The record is from RNAcentral.
GAUGAACGCUGGCGGCGUGCCUAAUACAUGCAAGUCGAGCGAACAGAUGAGGAGCUUGCUCCUCUGACGUUAGCGGCGGACGGGUGAGUAACACGUGGAUAACCUACCUAUAAGACUGGGAUAACUUCGGGAAACCGGAGCUAAUACCGGAUAAUAUAUUGAACCGCAUGGUUCAAUAGUGAAAGACGGUUUUGCUGUCACUUAUAGAUGGAUCCGCGCCGGAUUAGCUAGUUGGUGAGGUAACGGCUUACCAAGGCAACGAUGCGUAGCCGACCUGAGAGGGUGAUCGGCCACACUGGAACUGAGACACGGUCCAGACUCCUACGGGAGGCAGCAGUAGGGAAUCUUGCGCAAUGGGCGAAAGCUUGACGGAGCAACGCCGCGUGUGUGAUGAAGGUCUUCGGAUCGUAAAGCUCUGUUAUUAGGGAAGAACAAAUGUGUAAGUAACUAUGCACGUAUUGACGGUACCUAAUCAGAAAGCCCCGGCUAACUACGUG